GCUAGCGUCCGCCCCGCCAGUCGUACUCACGUUUGUCGUGGGUCAGGGAACCCGGUGAGAGUCCGGGACUGACGCGCAGCGGUGAGGGUGACGGGCGGAGCACGAAGCCACUGGGCGACGGCAGCAGACACUCGGCUGACGGAGCCUGGGAAGGCGCUCCGUCCGGUGGAUCCCGAGUCCGAAGACCUGCUGGCCGUGGACCUCCGGG
This 208-nucleotide non-coding RNA is filed under the name Nocardioides sp. RNAcentral also lists the same sequence under 1 other name. The record is from RNAcentral. Lineage: Bacteria; Bacillati; Actinomycetota; Actinomycetes; Propionibacteriales; Nocardioidaceae.